RNAcentral lists this ribosomal RNA (262 nucleotides) under uncultured bacterium. Its description in RNAcentral is "partial 16S ribosomal RNA". It matches the Rfam family "Bacterial small subunit ribosomal RNA", at positions 92 to 354 of the family's 1533-position model. The record is from RNAcentral.
UUAGUGGCGGACGGGUGAGUAACGCGUGGAAAACCUGCCGUAUACUGGGGGAUAACACUUAGAAAUAGGUGCUAAUACCGCAUAAGCGCACAGCUUCGCAUGAAGCGGUGUGAAAAACUCUGGUGGUAUACGAUGGUUCCGCGUCUGAUUAGCUUGUUGGCGGGGUAGGGGCCCACCAAGGCGACGAUCAGUAGCCGGCCUGAGAGGGUGAACGGCCACAUUGGGACUGAGACACGGCCCAAACUCCUACGGGAGGCAGCAG